Esox lucius (northern pike) is the source of this 4401-nucleotide RNA transcript. RefSeq lists it as uncharacterized. The record is from RefSeq and is a predicted model, not a curated record. Lineage: Eukaryota; Metazoa; Chordata; Actinopteri; Esociformes; Esocidae. The transcript has 7 exons.
GACCACCACCAGCAUCCUGCUGAGUUUUUUUUCACCAAUGCAAGUAAACACCCCCAGAUGCCCUUUUAGGAAAGGAAGCACCCCAUCAUCUUAAUUUAUUCAUUUCAACAAGUUAUGGAGCUAUCAUCUGAAGACCCUCUUCCUAUGGCUUUGGAUCUCUCAAAGAGAUGUGAGAAGAGUCAUCGGAACCCCAGGACCACAGAGGUUCUGGAACUUGUGAAGAAGCCGGGCUGGCACAGCAUCAGUGACGACCAUCAUGUGUCCAUGCCCUGCAUGCAGAUCCUCUCUGAGAAAACCCUAGCGGACACAGGUGUCAGACUGUCAUACGGGAACAGGUCUUGUGUUCACUCCCCCCUGUUACAUAAUGGUUUGGACAGAAGCCUACGGGACUCAGGGUUGUAUGAGCUAAACCCUACAGAGAGCCCCAAUGUGGAGAGCCCCAUUUCUGACAGCAUGGAUGGAGACGGAAGUCAGAGUGAUUCGGAUUCUGUCAUUUUGCUUGUUUCCAGUUCUAAGGAAGCGCCUCAGAACUAUAUCAACAGGGGGUCUUUUAGUCCUUUAGUGAAGCCUUUAUCCCCUGGUGCUGUUUCUCUGGAUGAAGCUAAAGAUUGUUUUCUACUGCCACAGACAAUGAGCUCCCCCAGUCCAGACAAUACAUACUCGGAGGAUUCUUCUGAAAGUAUGGCGGAGAUGUCAGUGAACACAAAACCUGUUCUUAGCCUUGCAGAAUUAGCUGCUGUGUAUGGGAAAUCUGUCAGAUCCACUGUGGAUAUGUCAAGUGAUGAUAGUGAUGUAAUCGAAGUUCCUAUCACCAAUGAAAAUAAAAAGAAUCCCAGUUUUCGGGUUGGGUGUCAGAAUGAGAAAAGGCUGACAGGUGAACCAAGUAACACUGGAAGGAAAAGCUUUUCUCCAGAGCCUGGAAGACUAAGGCCUAUAGUCACUGCUCAGAAACCCAUCAGUAAUGUAAUUUGCCAUAAUUCAAUAAUCCAUACCAAAAACACUAGUACAAAAUUACAAAAGGAUCAUUCUGGUGACACAGUGGACUCAAAAGAGAAAUCAUCUAGUUCAGAAGACGAGUCUUGGUUACAGCCAACUGUCCAUCUGUACAGAUGUGUCGUAGAUUCUGACGACUCUGAUGUGGACCAUCGGACAGUUAGACUGGACCCAUCUCAGAGCUUAAGUUCCUCAAGAAGGCCACUGAGACGAUCGUCACUUGCCACAGAGUCAAGCCCCAAGUCUUCAUACAUGAAAGAGGUCCAACAGGAGCCGACAACACAUUCUUCAGUAAGUACCCAGGCGUCCAGAACCCAGCAGGAAACCCACACGAGAAGUCCAGCCAAGGAGCCUGUGGCCUUUGGUAGCAAAGCAGCAGCAAGCAAAACAAGAAACGCCAAAAAACAAAGGAAGAAGAAACACAAAAAGGCCGGCUCCUCUCUGUUCUCACCACAAGAGCCGGAAAUCAAGCUGAAAUAUGCAAGCUACAAAAAUGACAAAAGGGACAGUAAAUCAGAGAACUUCAGCCCUUUUGUACACAUGGAGCAGAGGGAGUACUCGGCUUGUACGGUAGUCAACUAUCAACAGGAGGUGAAGGAUGUGAGGCAGAACAAAGGACAGCAAAAGCAGCCAACAGGCUCCGUGUUUUUGUCUGGUGUCGUUCCUAAGACAUCCUGUUAUGGACUAGGUCGCCUUAGCUCGCGGAGUAAGUGUCAGCCUCUUAUGGUGUGCUGCCUGUGUGGCGGCUCCGCUAAUGCUAUCGGCCUAGGGGAUCUUCAUGGGCCUUACUAUCCUAAUGGACCUGCUGUGGAGGAACAGGUCCAGAAGGAAGACCAAAAGGCCAGUGAAUUAUCGGUAGAUUCAUGUGGGCAAGUAGAUAAGAAUGGGUUACGUGGACCAUGCAAUGGGCCUAGGACUGAAGCAGUCGAUGAGGGCUGCUGCAUCGUUGUCAGUGAUUGUGAAAGCUCCCCGUUGCCUUCAGCCAAAAAGCUCAGGACAAACUGCGUUGUGGACAGCCACAGUCUACCGUUGGUGCCCCACAACACCAGUGAACGCUGGAUCCACGAGGACUGUGGCAUAUGGUCCACGGGUGUUUUCUUAGUUAAAGGAAAGCUCUACGGCUUGGAGGAGGCUGUUAGGCUCGCUCAAGAAACAGUAUGUUCCACAUGCCACGCUGCCGGUGCCACGAUGGGAUGCAUCCAGAAAGGCUGCCCCAAUAAGUACCACUACACCUGUGCCCUUCAGUCGGGCUGUGUGCUUAAUGAGGAAAACUUCUCCAUGAGGUGUCCCAAGCACAAGAAAAAAACGUUUAGAGGUUUGAACAUGCCAGACAACAGAUGACAUGAGAGAAGGAAUUGGGACAUUAUGGAAGAAAAAUGUAAUAUGGGGUCUCCUUGAGCAGUCCUAUCACUUUUUAUUCAAGGAAAACUGUGUCCAGGUACUCUCUGAGUGUUGAAGGGUAAACCAUAUUUACAGCAGUCUUCAGUCUACAGGUCCUAUCCUUCACAAAGACGGGCUGUGGAAGAACUGCUGUUUUGUAUUCAUAUUUUAAAAAUUAAAUUUUUUUUAAGGUUUACAUUGAUUCAGUUGUUCUAGUACGAAUAUUGAAUGUGACCCAAUGAAGCCAAAAUAUGUCCCUAUUGUUUGUCUGCCUCCAGGUGGCUAUAGACCUUUAGGCCAGCAGUCAACAGGGAGGCCAAGGUCCCCAAGGGGUGCUCGGAGAAUAGCCAGGGAGCCUCGAGAUGACAAGGAAAAAUAAUGAUAGAAAUUAUUUGACACUAUUUUACUAUGAUUAUUUGACACUAUUUUACAAUAAUCCACAUAGCACCUAAAAUAUAGUGGCUUGCAAAAGUAUUCAAACCCCGUAACCAAUUUUCUCAUAUUUGUGAAUUACAAAUGGUUUAUUCUGAAAUAUAAUUCUGUUCCUAAACAUUAAAGCUACACUUCAUAGAAUUUGGGUCGUUUUUGCUAGCAAUACAGAAGAAAUUUGGUGGAAUCACCUUUCACUGCAGUAACAGCUUUAUGUAUUUUGAGGUACUUACAGAAAAUUUGACAGUAAUUUCAUUCACAAUGUCCUUAUUUGGGCAGUGUCAUCAGUGUUAACUGGGAGCUUCCCACAGCAUAUGGGUGAAAUUGAAGCAACAUGUUUCAGGUUUUUUUCUAACAUUGAAAUCAUUUCACCUUCAAUAUUUCAUUUUAAGUUUAAGGGUUUUAAAAUAUGUAUCAAACAGAACAAACUGUUCAUAUAUAAUUUUUAAUUCCGUAAUAUGAGGGGAUUGGUCAGCGGUGUGAAUACUUUUGCAAAGGACUGUACAUAAAUGAACAGCAACAUCUAUGAAUAUAAAAUCAUUCAUUUUAUAAUUUCUUGUUAUGAAAAGCGCCAAACUAGGAGUGUCUGCCAGUAAGAUCGUUAGCUACCUACCACCUUGCGAUUCUCAACCAAUCAUUUAAUGUCUCUGUUCAGGAUUGCCUCCUAACAUUUUUAAAACAUUACAUUUUUGUUCAUGCAUAAUAGAAUAGAUAAGUUGAAGGAAUGGACAGCUCUGAAAACUAAAACCUUGAGGAUGAUAUGCAUUUUGCCAUGUGAGAGAUCUUUCCAUGCAUUGGCCACAUUAUUUCCAGAAGCCAGCAGCAGUCCUCACAUUGUGUGAGCAGCUUUUGUAAUUACAGUCUGACAGUCUGUAUUUAUUUAAGAAUAAAAAGCAUAAAAAUGCACUUUUGUUUUUCUGUUUGUUGAAUGUCCACGUUAUCACUGUUUGUCCUCAGUUUUAUGUUUUAUAUUUUUAUGAAAUUGGACUAUGAUGUUUUUGUUGUUAGUUUUCACGUCCGUGAUUGAUUUCCUUUUUUGGUACGAACCAUGGGGAGACAUAUUUGAGUUUGAUAUUUAUCCUAAAUAACGGUGAUUAAAAGUCACUGCCCUAAUAAUGACUUGUUUUACAAGUUUACUUUGAACUUCACAUUUCUGUAUGUUGCUAUAUGGAUGUUUUGUAUCUCAAAAGAUUAUACUUUUGGUAAGCAUUUAUUGUCUAUUGAAAAAUUGAAUGGCUAGAGGGAUGGAUCUUAACAAUGGUUUCUCCAGAAAUAUUUAUUUUCUAUUUAUGAUUUAAUGUUAUGCAUAUUUAUUUCAGCAUUAUUCAACUUAUUUUAUUUCAUACAAUGAGGUAAACAUUCUAUUUUUUGCACAAAGUUGGCAAGGUUUGGUGCAUUCAGGUGAAUUUGAGUUUGCCUUGAUAUCAUUAGCUCCUGAGAUUAUGAUUUUAUGCUAAGUUAUUACAGGUAAUUGAGGAAAUGUUUGGAUUUUCCAGUCUUAUAUUUUUAUGGAAGAUAUGGCUAACAUAUGGAAUUCAUUAUCUGUAACAGCUCUUGCAUUUUUUAUCAACCAUUUGAAUAAAUGCUGACAUUCCUGUG